GGGUCAAUAGCGUAGUGGUGAACGCGUCUGUCCAGAUUACGUCGAAACAGAGUCCAUGACAGAAGAUCCUCGGUUCGAUUCCGAGUUGACCCA
Hymenopellis radicata is the source of this 93-nucleotide non-coding RNA. NCBI's taxonomy places the organism in Eukaryota, Fungi, Basidiomycota, Agaricomycetes, Agaricales, Physalacriaceae. The record is from the annotation of a GenBank genome assembly.